UAGGGAAUCUUCCGCAAUGGGCGAAAGCUUGACGGAGCAACGCCGCGUGAGUGAUGAAGGUCUUCGGAUCGUAAAACUCUGUUAUUAGGGAAGAACAAAUGUGUAAGUAACUAUGCACGUCUUGACGGUACCUAAUCAGAAAGCCACGGCUAACUACGUGCCAGCAGCCGCGGUAAUACGUAGGUGGCAAGCGUUAUCCGGAAUUAUUGGGCGUAAAGCGCGCGUAGGCGGUUUUUUAAGUCUGAUGUGAAAGCCCGCGGCUCAACCGUGGAGGGUCAUUGGAAACUGGAAAACUUGAGUGCAGAAGAGGAAAGUGGAAUUCCAUGUGUAGCGGUGAAAUGCGCAGAGAUAUGGAGGAACACCAGUGGCGAAGGCGACUUACUGGUCUGUAACUGACGCUGAUGUACGAAAGCGUGGGGAUCAAACAGG
Molecule: ribosomal RNA, 429 nt
Filed under: Actinomycetes bacterium
Lineage: Bacteria; Bacillati; Actinomycetota; Actinomycetes
Description: Actinobacteria bacterium partial 16S ribosomal RNA
Rfam family: Bacterial small subunit ribosomal RNA
Source: RNAcentral